Molecule: ribosomal RNA, 471 nt
Filed under: uncultured bacterium
Lineage: Bacteria
Description: bacterial SSU rRNA
Rfam family: Bacterial small subunit ribosomal RNA
Source: RNAcentral
GACGCCAGCAGUGGAUUAUGUGGUUUAUUCGAAGCAACGCGAAGAACCUUACCAGCACUUGACAUCCAACUAACGAAAUAGAGAUAUAUUAGGUGCCCUUCGGGGAAAGUUGAGACAGGUGGUGCAUGGUUGUCGUCAGCUCGUGUCGUGAGAUGUUGGGUUAAGUCCCGCAACGAGCGCAACCCUCGCCAUUAGUUGCUACGCAAGAGCACUCUAAUGGGACCGCUACCGACAAGGUGGAGGAAGGUGGGGACGACGUCAAAUCAUCAUGCCCCUUAUGUGCUGGGCUACACACGUAAUACAAUGGCCAUCAACAGAGAGAAGCAAUACCGCGAGGUGGAGCAAAACUUCAAAAAUGGUCUCAGUUCGGACUGCAGGCUGCAACCCGCCUGCACGAAGUUGGAAUUGCUAGUAAUCGUGGAUCAGCAUGCCACGGUGAAUACGUUCCCGGGUCUUGUACACACCGCCCGU